CCCACGAGGCACUGAACAGAAAGCCAAGUUCAGUGAGAAGCAUUCGAGUAGGAAGGAGGAUCUACACCUGUGCUGCUAAGGACUAUCCGCUUUUUCAGCACCUGAAGAAAAGGUCGAAGAAAGUCAGGUGCACAGAAGCAGAAACUGGGGGGUUCUCCAAGAAGUGUAGGAAACAUAAACAGGUGAAGAAGAGCCAGCAGCAGCUGCAAGAAGAGUUCUAGGUUGUGCAGGAUGAAGUAUUCUCUGAAGACCUUGACUGAGGUAAUGGGUCAUGAUGUCAGGGGUGCUUGUAAGGGAAAAGGUGAGUGCUCCCAGCUCUUAGAAAUCAUGGCUUGAAAACUGUCAACUGCCCAUGCUCAGCACAGGGUUUUUCUGCUCAGUUUCCGGUUUAGCCUUGACUGUGAAAACUUCCUGCUCACAAAAUAUUGUGCAGCGUGUUUUGCAGUUGCCUGAAGAAGAAGCCAGGGCAAGGAAAAGUGCCCCAUUUCCUGCAGACUUGGCUGAGGCUGAAGGCAUCUUUCACUAGAGAACCGGGAUUCUUCAGUCAUUUCUGAGGAAGGAAGGGA
This is a long non-coding RNA of Apus apus (common swift), 566 nucleotides long. RefSeq lists it as uncharacterized. The transcript is spliced from 4 exons. The record is from RefSeq and is a predicted model, not a curated record. Lineage: Eukaryota; Metazoa; Chordata; Aves; Apodiformes; Apodidae.